UAAAUGAUCACUUGUUUCUUGAAUGACGCAAAAGCUUAACGUCUUUAAGAUUUAAAGAGUCAAAAUUACCAAGGAUGCUUAUCCGAAUAUAUAUAUACCAAAAUAAACAUGAAUGCCUAGUCAUAUGAUUCCUUACCAUUUACCAAUCCUUUAUAUAAACAUGAACAUCAUGGAUGUGCCAAAAACUACCUAAGCAUUAUGGUCUGCUUCUCAAAUGCCCAAAGUUAUGUUUUCUUUUUCUUCUUCCAUAAGCCUAGGUAUGAAGUGCAUCCUUUACUAAACCUGCAUUGUUCACUGCAUCUUCAACCAGUUGAAAACAACCCACCACUGAAGAGAAGCCACCUGAAGUGCAACAAAUUAAUUUAACAUUGUUAUAUGGGAAACAAAUUAAAGUUAUAAUUUAUAUGGGAAAAAUAUUUUAAAUUAUUUCUUCUUGAAAAAUAACAAUGUCUAAUAUCCCAAUUUAGUUAACAAGUAUAUAUUGUUAUUAUCCAAAUGUGAAUUAUUCAUCACAUCUUGAUAAAUCAACUUUUAAGUCAUCAUAAUAUGAUGCACUCUAAUCGUUUGACUAAAAAGAAGGAAUGAAAUUCCCCACACUAAAACCAACACAGAAUUGAACCAUCCAUUCCAACUAACAAAUACGAGCACAUCCAAUAUGGGAAAAUAAAAGCUGAAAAAUCCAAAUUAUGGAAAAAUCUCUAAUCUUCUCUUUUUCUCCCCAGAAUGAUGACAAUGGCUAAUAACAUCGCGAUUAACAGUUAUAUUCAUCACCUGUAAACAUCAUCUUUUCAUGUUGUAUAGAUGGGUUCAACUCUCAAAAGGGAUACAUCGUCAUUCCUGGCGACUUUCAGUUAGUGUUAAUUGUCUGAGUGACAAUUCUGCUAUUUGGCCAGAAAAUAGUCCAUAAGAUCACCAGCGAGCAAGACAUGAUUACCACUUUUCUCAACAAUGAACUCCCUUGAACCCUUCUUAGCCUUAAAUGUGCUUUCCCUCUUGCUCUAUAUCUGGAGCCAACUGGAAUUUCCUCUGAUUUUGUUAGAAGGGGGCAGAUUCUAAUGAUUACUGUUACACUCAACUUGGCCGGUAGCUUGAUCAACGCAUUUAAAGAGAUAAAUCUGGCCNNN
This 1124-nucleotide long non-coding RNA is filed under the name Nicotiana tabacum (common tobacco). Its description in RNAcentral is "long non-coding RNA (NTAB_LNC001961)". Lineage: Eukaryota; Viridiplantae; Streptophyta; Magnoliopsida; Solanales; Solanaceae. The record is from RNAcentral.